GUUGGUCCGAGAGUAGUGGUGUUUA
RNAcentral lists this non-coding RNA (25 nucleotides) under Cricetulus griseus (Chinese hamster). Lineage: Eukaryota; Metazoa; Chordata; Mammalia; Rodentia; Cricetidae. RNAcentral also lists the same sequence under 1 other name. The record is from RNAcentral.